RNAcentral lists this ribosomal RNA (492 nucleotides) under uncultured bacterium. RNAcentral describes it as "partial 16S ribosomal RNA". It matches the Rfam family "Bacterial small subunit ribosomal RNA", at positions 29 to 507 of the family's 1533-position model. The record is from RNAcentral.
AGUGAACGCUGGCGGUAGGCCUAACACAUGCAAGUCGAACGGCAGCACAGUAAGAGCUUGCUCUUACGGGUGGCGAGUGGCGGACGGGUGAGGAAUACAUCGGAAUCUACUUUUUCGUGGGGGAUAACGUAGGGGAACUUACGCUAAUACCGCAUACGACCUACGGGUGAAAGCAGGGGAUCUUCGGACCUUGCGCGAUUGAAUGAGCCGAUGUCGGAUUAGCUAGUUGGCGGGGUAAAGGCCCACCAAGGCGACGAUCCGUAGCUGGUCUGAGAGGAUGAUCAGCCACACUGGAACUGAGACACGGUCCAGACGCCUACGAGAGGCAGCAGUGGCGAAUAUUGGACAAUGGGCGCAAGCCUGAUCCAGCCAUACCGCGUGGGUGAAGAAGGCCUUCGGGUUGUAAAGCCCUUUUGUUGGGAAAGAAAAGCAGCAGGUUAAUACCCCGCUGUUCUGACGGUACUCAAAGAAUAAGCACCGGCUAACUUCGUG